Molecule: ribosomal RNA, 199 nt
Filed under: uncultured bacterium
Lineage: Bacteria
Description: partial 16S ribosomal RNA
Rfam family: Bacterial small subunit ribosomal RNA
Source: RNAcentral
ACGCUCGACACCUACGGGAGGGCAGCAGUGGGGAAUAUUGCACAAUGGGGGAAACCCUGAUGCAGCGACGCCGCGUGAGUGAAGAAGUAUUUCGGUAUGUAAAGCUCUAUCAGCAGGGAAGAAGAUGACGGUACCUGAGUAAGAAGCCCCGGCUAACUACGUGCCAGUAGCCGCGGUAAUCUGAGCGGGCUGGCAAGGC